AGUGAACGCUGGCGGUAGGCCUAACACAUGCAAGUCGAACGGCAGCGCCGUAAUAGCUUGCUCUUACGGGUGGCGAGUGGCGGACGGGUGAGGAAUCCAUCGGAAUCUACUUUUUCGUGGGGGAUAACGUAGGGAAACUUACGCUAAUACCGCAUACGACCUACGGGUGAAAGCAGGGGAUCUUCUGACCUUGCGCGAUUGAAUGAGCCGAGGUCGGAUUAGUGAGUUGGCGGGGUAAAGGCCCAACAAGGCGACGAUCCGAAGCGGGUCUGAGAGGAUGGACCGACAGCCUGGAAGUGAGGAACGGUCCAGACUCCUAGGGGAGGCAGCAGUGGGGAAUAUUGGACAAUGGAGGAGAGCCUGAUCCAGCAAUACCGCGUGGGUGAAGAAGGCCUUCGGGUGGGAGAGCCAUGUUGGUGGGAAAGAAGAGAAGCAGGUUAAGACCCCGCGGUUAUGACGGUACCCAAAGAAUAAGCACCGGCUAACUUCGUG
Molecule: ribosomal RNA, 492 nt
Filed under: uncultured bacterium
Lineage: Bacteria
Description: partial 16S ribosomal RNA
Rfam family: Bacterial small subunit ribosomal RNA
Source: RNAcentral